GAAGUUUUAAGGAAUAUAUAGCU
Molecule: non-coding RNA, 23 nt
Filed under: Rattus norvegicus (Norway rat)
Lineage: Eukaryota; Metazoa; Chordata; Mammalia; Rodentia; Muridae
Source: RNAcentral